Molecule: transfer RNA, 74 nt
Organism: Mucor circinelloides
Lineage: Eukaryota; Fungi; Mucoromycota; Mucoromycetes; Mucorales; Mucoraceae
Rfam family: tRNA
About the family: Transfer RNA (tRNA) molecules are approximately 80 nucleotides in length. Their secondary structure includes four short double-helical elements and three loops (D, anti-codon, and T loops). Further hydrogen bonds mediate the characteristic L-shaped molecular structure. tRNAs have two regions of fundamental functional importance: the anti-codon, which is responsible for specific mRNA codon recognition, and the 3' end, to which the tRNAs corresponding amino acid is attached (by aminoacyl-tRNA synthetases). tRNAs cope with the degeneracy of the genetic code in two manners: having more than one tRNA (with a specific anti-codon) for a particular amino acid; and 'wobble' base-pairing, i.e. permitting non-standard base-pairing at the 3rd anti-codon position.
Source: Rfam
GGGGUGUUAGCUCAGUUGGUCAGAGCGUUCGAUUCCAAAUCGAAAGGUCACGAGUUCAAAUCUCCUACGUCUCA